CCUACGGGCAGCAGCAGUGGGGAAUAUUGGGCAAUGGGCGCAAGCCUGACCCAGCAACGCCGCGUGAAGGAAGAAGGCUUUCGGGUUGUAAACUUCUUUUUUCAGGGACGAAGCAAGUGACGGUACCUGACGAAUAAGCCACGGCUAACUACGUGCCAGCAGCCGCGGUAAUACGUAGGUGGCAAGCGUUAUCCGGAUUUACUGGGUGUAAAGGGCGUGUAGGCGGGGAAGCAAGUCAGAUGUGAAAACCACGGGCUCAACCUGUGGCCUGCAUUUGAAACUGUUUUUCUUGAGUACUGGAGAGGCAGACGGAAUGCCUAGUGUAGCGGUGAAAUGCGUAGAUAUUAGGAGGAACACCAGUGGCGAAGGCGGUCUGCUGGACAGCAACUGACGCUGAGGCGCGAAAGCGUGGGGAGCAAACAGGAUUAGAUACCCCAGUAGUC
This 443-nucleotide ribosomal RNA is filed under the name uncultured bacterium. RNAcentral's name for it is "partial 16S ribosomal RNA". It matches the Rfam family "Bacterial small subunit ribosomal RNA", at positions 338 to 795 of the family's 1533-position model. The record is from RNAcentral.